CCACAGAUGGGGUUUGCAGGAGCAAUGGCUGUAGGGACACUAAGAUUUCACCCUCCAGAAGACAGCAUCUUCCUGUGCCAUGGCUAGAUCACCAGCUACCCACAGACAGCCUGAACUCCAAUUGUCUUCCUGCACAUGUGCCUUUAAAGGAACUUUUCAAAUGUAGAGGAGCCUUUAGAAGGAAGCCUUGAGCAUGAGGACAGACCCCCCUCAUCCAACCACCACCUGACUCUGUGUGAACCUGGAACUGUUAGAAUGUCUGUGCUGUGAUAAAAGGUCAUCUCCCUACAAUGUUAUGAUACAGACCUCAAACCUACAAACAUGAGGAACUUCUGCCUCCAGGUUAACUGCUUACCCACUGUACAAGACACGUUACACACAGUCCAGGAGGCGGAGCUUCUGAGAUAUCUAGAAACAGCUUAGAGGCAAAAUGACAAAAUAAAGCAGCAACAACAAAUAAAACCAAUCUUCUCGAACU
This 478-nucleotide long non-coding RNA is filed under the name Homo sapiens (human). Its description in RNAcentral is "non-protein coding LINC01255:17". Lineage: Eukaryota; Metazoa; Chordata; Mammalia; Primates; Hominidae. The record is from RNAcentral.